Molecule: ribosomal RNA, 484 nt
Filed under: uncultured bacterium
Lineage: Bacteria
Description: partial 16S ribosomal RNA
Rfam family: Bacterial small subunit ribosomal RNA
Source: RNAcentral
AUUGAACGCUGGCGGCAUGCUUUACACAUGCAAGUCGAACGGUAACAGGGAGCUUGCUCCGCUGACGAGUGGCGAACGGGUGAGUAAUAUAUCGGAACGUACCCAAGAGUGGGGGAUAACGUAGCGAAAGUUACGCUAAUACCGCAUACGAUCUAAGGAUGAAAGCAGGGGACCUUCGGGCCUUGUGCUCCUGGAGCGGCCGAUAUCUGAUUAGCUAGUUGGUGAGGUAAAGGCUCACCAAGGCGACGAUCAGUAGCUGGUCUGAGAGGACGACCAGCCACACUGGAACUGAGACACGGUCCAGACUCCUACGGGAGGCAGCAGUGGGGAAUUUUGGACAAUGGGCGAAAGCCUGAUCCAGCAAUGCCGCGUGAGUGAAGAAGGCCUUCGGGUUGUAAAGCUCUUUUGUCAGGGAAGAAAAGGGAUUGGCUAAUAUCCAGUCCUAAUGACGGUACCUGAAGAAUAAGCACCGGCUAACUACGUG